This is a long non-coding RNA of Prunus dulcis (almond), 477 nucleotides long. RefSeq lists it as uncharacterized. Lineage: Eukaryota; Viridiplantae; Streptophyta; Magnoliopsida; Rosales; Rosaceae. The record is from RefSeq and is a predicted model, not a curated record. The transcript is spliced from 2 exons.
CCUCUUCUCUCCAUUGACGAUACGACGCCCUCUCUUUCUCCUCUUUCUUCUUCGCUCAAUCAACGACAACAACACCCGCUCUCUCUCCUCUUCCUUAUUAGUCUCCAUCAACAACGACACCCUCUCUCUCAUCUUUCUUCUUUUCACGCAAAGCUCUGUUUUUCAUCUGGUGAGGCUAAUGGAGGUGUGUGUCAUUGCCAAGUGCACAUAUAAGUCGGAAACCAUCAUGUUUUCAGUUUCAUCAGAGUCAUCCAUGGUUGAUAUUUUGAAGACUUUGUGUCUGAGGUUUAGGGGUUUGCAGUUGGGUUGUUUCACAUUACGGUAUUCGGUGCUCAGUUAUCCGAGUUGUUUUCUAGAAAUGGAUAGCGAUUUGGACUUGAUGAGGACAUUUUUGUUGACAUCAAAUGAGAAGACUGUUGAUAUUUUAGUGAAGGAUUUAUGCGGGAGCAAUGAAUAUAGUGGUGAUUUUUGUGUAAA